GAUGAACGCUGGCGGCGUGCCUAAUACAUGCAAGUCGAGCGAACAGACGAGGAGCUUGCUCCUCUGACGUUAGCGGCGGACGGGUGAGUAACACGUGGAUAACCUACCUAUAAGACUGGGAUCACUUCGGGAAACCGGAGCUAAUACCGGAUAAUAUAUUGAACCGCAUGGUUCAAUAGUGAAAGACGGUUUUGCUGUCACUUAUAGAUGGAUCCGCGCCGCAUUAGCUAGUUGGUAAGGUAACGGCUUACCAAGGCAACGAUGCGUAGCCGACCUGAGAGGGUGAUCGGCCACACUGGAACUGAGACACGGCCCAGACUCCUACGGGAGGCAGCAGUAGGGAAUCUUCCGCAAUGGGCGAAAGCCUGACGGAGCAACGCCGCGUGAGUGAUGAAGGUCUUCGGAUCGUAAAACUCUGUUAUUAGGGAAGAACAAAUGUGUAAGUAACUAUGCACGUCUUGACGGUACCUAAUCAGAAAGCCACGGCUAACUACGUG
This 497-nucleotide ribosomal RNA is filed under the name uncultured bacterium. Its description in RNAcentral is "partial 16S ribosomal RNA". It matches the Rfam family "Bacterial small subunit ribosomal RNA", at positions 28 to 507 of the family's 1533-position model. The record is from RNAcentral.